UGAGGAAUAUUGGUCAAUGGGCGGAAGCCUGAACCAGCCAUGCCGCGUGCAGGACGACGGCCCUACGGGUUGUAAACUGCUUUUCCGGGGGAAGAAUAACCCCCCUGCGGGGGGGGAUGCCGGUACCCCGGGAAUAAGGAUCGGCUAACUCCGUGCCAGCAGCCGCGGUAAUACGGAGGAUCCUAGCGUUAUCCGGAUUUACUGGGUUUAAAGGGUGCGUAGGCGGGCGUUUAAGUCCGCGGUGAAAGUCUGCGGCUCAACCGUAGGAUUGCCGUGGAUACUGGACGUCUUGGAUUCGGUCGGGGUCGGCGGAAUGCGUGGUGUAGCGGUGAAAUGCAUAGAUAUCACGCAGAACGCCGAUAGCGAAGGCAGCUCGCCGGCCGAAAUCGACGCUGAGGC
This 399-nucleotide ribosomal RNA is filed under the name uncultured bacterium. Its description in RNAcentral is "bacterial SSU rRNA". It matches the Rfam family "Bacterial small subunit ribosomal RNA", at positions 355 to 752 of the family's 1533-position model. The record is from RNAcentral.